Molecule: ribosomal RNA, 465 nt
Filed under: uncultured bacterium
Lineage: Bacteria
Description: partial 16S ribosomal RNA
Rfam family: Bacterial small subunit ribosomal RNA
Source: RNAcentral
CCUACGGGGAGCAGCAGUGGGGAAUAUUGCGCAAUGGGCGAAAGCCUGACGCAGCGACGCCGCGUGAGGGAUGAAGGUCUUCGGAUCGUAACCCUCUGUCAGCAGGGAAGAACGGUCACUGUGCUAAUCAGCAGUGAAUUGACGGUACCUGCAAAGGAAGCACCGGCUAACUCCGUGCCAGCAGCCGCGGUAAUACGGCGGGUGCGAGCGUUAAUCGGAAGUACUGGGCGUAAAGGGCUCGUAGGCGGUAGGUCAAGUCAAGGGUGAAAUCCCCGCGCUCAACGUGGGAACUGCCUUUGAUACUGGCAAACUGGAGUGUGUGAGAGGAUAGUGGAAUUCCAGGUGUAGGAGUGAAAUCCGUAGAUAUCUGGAGGAACAUCAGUGGCGAAGGCGACUAUCUGGCACAUAACUGACGCUGAGGAGCGAAAGCGUGGGUAGCAAACAGGAUUAGAUACCCGGGUAGUC